AGUAGGCUGGAAGAGCCGGAUGGAGGUCGAUGGCCGUACCUGCUCUUCGAGAACAAAACCACCGACUAAGCUUGUAGAUGUCAUUGGAUGGCACAUUAGGACGGGGGUUCGAAUCCCCCCACCUCCACAA
Molecule: transfer-messenger RNA, 130 nt
Filed under: Spirochaetales bacterium
Lineage: Bacteria; Pseudomonadati; Spirochaetota; Spirochaetia; Spirochaetales
Description: partial transfer-messenger RNA
Rfam family: transfer-messenger RNA
About the family: Bacterial tmRNA, also known as 10Sa RNA or SsrA, is named for its dual tRNA and mRNA-like properties. Its role is to liberate the mRNA from a stalled ribosome.
Source: RNAcentral